AUUGAACGCUGGCGGAAUGCUUUACACAUGCAAGUCGAGCGGCAGCACGGGGGUAACCCUGGUGGCGAGCGGCGAACGGGUGAGUAAUACAUCGGAACAUGCCCAGUCGUGGGGGAUAACACUUCGAAAGAAGUGCUAAUACCGCAUACGUCCUGAGGGAGAAAGCGGGGGAUCGCAAGACCUCGCGCGAUUGGAGUGGCCGAUGUCAGAUUAGCUAGUUGGUGGGGUAAAGGCCUACCAAGGCAACGAUCUGUAGCUGGUCUGAGAGGAUGAUCAGCCACACUGGGACUGAGACACGGCCCAGACUCCUACGGGAGGCAGCAGUGGGGAAUUUUGGACAAUGGGGGCAACCCUGAUCCAGCCAUUCCGCGUGAGUGAAGAAGGCCUUCGGGUUGUAAAGCUCUUUCGGCAGGAACGAAACGGUGAGCUCUAACAUAGCUUGCUAAUGACGGUACCUGAAGAAGAAGCACCGGCUAACUACGU
RNAcentral lists this ribosomal RNA (483 nucleotides) under uncultured bacterium. Its description in RNAcentral is "partial 16S ribosomal RNA". It matches the Rfam family "Bacterial small subunit ribosomal RNA", at positions 30 to 506 of the family's 1533-position model. The record is from RNAcentral.